RNAcentral lists this ribosomal RNA (513 nucleotides) under uncultured bacterium. Its description in RNAcentral is "partial 16S ribosomal RNA". It matches the Rfam family "Bacterial small subunit ribosomal RNA", at positions 28 to 507 of the family's 1533-position model. The record is from RNAcentral.
GACGAACGCUGGCGGCGUGCUUAACACAUGCAAGUCGAACGAAAAGAGGGAAAGAGCUUGCUCUUUCCGGAAUUGAGUGGCAAACGGGUGAGUAACACGUAAACAACCUGCCUUCAGGAUGGGGACAACAGACGGAAACGACUGCUAAUACCGAAUAAGUUCCAAGGGCCGCAUGGCCCAUGGAAGAAAAGGUGGCCUCUACCUGUAAGCUAUCGCCUGAAGAGGGGUUUGCGUCUGAUUAGCUGGUUGGAGGGGUAACGGCCCACCAAGGCGACGAUCAGUAGCCGGUCUGAGAGGAUGAACGGCCACACUGGAACUGAGACACGGUCCGGACUCCUACGGGAGGCAGCAGUGGGGAAUCUUCCGCAAUGGGCGAAAGCCUGACGGAGCAACGCCGCGUGAGGGAUGACGGCCUUCGGGUUGUAAAACUCUGUGAUCCGGGACGAAAAGGCAGAGUGCGAAGAACAAACUGCAUUGACGGUACCGGAAAAGCAAGCCACGGCUAACUACGUG